UGGGAAUAUGUGGUGCUGAAGCCAAAGUC
RNAcentral lists this non-coding RNA (29 nucleotides) under Homo sapiens (human). Lineage: Eukaryota; Metazoa; Chordata; Mammalia; Primates; Hominidae. The record is from RNAcentral.